RNAcentral lists this ribosomal RNA (527 nucleotides) under uncultured bacterium. RNAcentral describes it as "partial 16S ribosomal RNA". It matches the Rfam family "Bacterial small subunit ribosomal RNA", at positions 355 to 874 of the family's 1533-position model. The record is from RNAcentral.
UGGGGAAUUUUGGACAAUGGGCGAAAGCCUGAUCCAGCAAUGCCGCGUGUGUGAAGAAGGCCUUCGGGUUGUAAAGCACUUUUGUCCGGAAAGAAAUCCUUGGCUCUAAUACAGUCGGGGGAUGACGGUACCGGAAGAAUAAGCACCGGCUAACUACGUGCCAGCAGCCGCGGUAAUACGUAGGGUGCAAGCGUUAAUCGGAAUUACUGGGCGUAAAGCGUGCGCAGGCGGUUUGCUAAGACCGAUGUGAAAUCCCCGGGCUCAACCUGGGAACUGCAUUGGUGACUGGCAGGCUAGAGUAUGGCAGAGGGGGGUAGAAUUCCACGUGUAGCAGUGAAAUGCGUAGAGAUGUGGAGGAAUACCGAUGGCGAAGGCAGCCCCCUGGCAAGUACUGACGCUCAUGCACGAAAGCGUGGGGAGCAAACAGGAUUAGAUACCCUGGUAGUCCCACGCCCUAAACGAUGUCAACUAGUUGUUGGGGAUUCAUUUUCCUUAGUAACGUAGCUAACGCGUGAAGUUGACCGCCU